RNAcentral lists this ribosomal RNA (487 nucleotides) under uncultured bacterium. Its description in RNAcentral is "bacterial SSU rRNA". It matches the Rfam family "Bacterial small subunit ribosomal RNA", at positions 501 to 987 of the family's 1533-position model. The record is from RNAcentral.
CUACGUGCCAGCAGCCGCGGUAAUACGUAGGGUGCGAGCGUUAAUCGGAAUUACCGGGCGUAAAGCGGGCGCAGACGGUUACUUAAGCAGGAUGUGAAAUCCCCGGGCUCAACCUGGGAACUGCGUUCUGAACUGGGUGACUAGAGUGUGUCAGAGGGAGGUAGAAUUCCACGUGUAGCAGUGAAAUGCGUAGAGAUGUGGAGGAAUACCGAUGGCGAAGGCAGCCUCCUGGGAUAACACUGACGUUCAUGCCCGAAAGCGUGGGUAGCAAACAGGAUUAGAUACCCUGGUAGUCCACGCCCUAAACGAUGUCGAUUAGCUGUUGGGCAGCAUGACUGCUUAGUAGCGAAGCUAACGCGUGAAAUCGACCGCCUGGGGAGUACGGUCGCAAGAUUAAAACUCAAAGGAAUUGACGGGGACCCGCACAAGCGGUGGAUGAUGUGGAUUAAUUCGAUGCAACGCGAAGAACCUUACCUGGUCUUGACAU